RNAcentral lists this ribosomal RNA (549 nucleotides) under uncultured Glomeromycotina. Its description in RNAcentral is "SSU rRNA". It matches the Rfam family "Eukaryotic small subunit ribosomal RNA", at positions 548 to 1098 of the family's 1831-position model. The record is from RNAcentral. Lineage: Eukaryota; Fungi; Glomeromycota.
UUGGAGGGCAAGUCUGGUGCCAGCAGCCGCGGUAAUUCCAGCUCCAAUAGCGUAUAUUAAAGUUGUUGCAGUUAAAAAGCUCGUAGUUGAAUUUCGGGGUUAGUAGGUUGGUCAUGCCUCUGGUAUGUACUGGUCUCACUGAUUCCUCCUUCCUGAUGAACCUUAAUGCCAUUUAUUUGGUGUUUUGGGGAAUUUGGACUGUUACUUUGAAAAAAUUAGAGUGUUUAAAGCAAGCUAACGCUUGAAUACAUUAGCAUGGAAUAAUGAGAUAGGACGUUCGAUCCUAUUUUGUUGGUUUCUAGGAUUGACGUAAUGAUUAAUAGGGAUAGUUGGGGGCAUUAGUAUUCAAUUGUCAGAGGUGAAAUUCUUGGAUUUAUUGAAGACUAACUACUGCGAAAGCAUUUGCCAAGGAUGUUUUCAUUAAUCAAGAACGAAAGUUAGGGGAUCGAAGACGAUCAGAUACCGUCGUAGUCUUAACCAUAAACUAUGCCGACUAGGGAUCGGAUGAUGUUAAUUUUUUAAUGACUCAUUCGGCGCCUUACGGGAAAC